This 611-nucleotide ribosomal RNA is filed under the name uncultured bacterium. RNAcentral describes it as "partial 16S ribosomal RNA". It matches the Rfam family "Bacterial small subunit ribosomal RNA", at positions 30 to 543 of the family's 1533-position model. The record is from RNAcentral.
CCCGGUCGACCGUUCACGGACGUGAACGCUUAGGUACUACACGGCUUAACGACGAACUGCAAGUCGAGGGGCCGUAGCGGGAGUUCGUAAGACCGUAGUCGGUCCAAUUUGCCGGCGACCGGUACGCACGGGNGUAGUAACGACGUAGCCCUAACCGUUUCCGACGUUACUUACGGGCGUAACGCGUUUCGAAAGUAAACGGAUUAAGUACCCGAUGGGUAUCUUUAAGNGACGUCGAUGUAGUGUUAAAGAUUAAAGAUUAUCGGUAACGACGACUCGGGGAGUGGCGGUUCCAGUUAGGCAGUUGGCCGGGUAAGGGCCCUACCAAACCUACGACUGGAUAGGGGUUCAGAGUAGGAAGGUACCCCCACAUUGGGAACUGAGACCACGGUCCUAAACUCCUACCCGGGAAGGCAGCAAUAGAGGUAUAUUGGGUACAAUGGGCCGAGAGCCUGAACCAGCCAAGUAGCGUCAGGAUGAGUCAUGAUGAACUCUUAGAGGANACGGGCGCUAGUGUGNGNUCCUUAUCCCCCUAGUGUCGUCCUUGACCUACCACGACUCGGCUAACUCCGUGCCAGCAGCCGCGGUAAUACGGAGGAUGCGAGCGUUAU